AUGAACGCUGACAGAAUGCUUCACACAUGCAAGUCUACUUGAACUUCGGUUUGGGUGGCGGACGGGUGAGUAACGCGUAAAGAACUUGCCUCACAGAUAGGGACAACAUUUGGAAACGAAUGCUAAUACCUGAUAUUAUGAUUUUAGGGCAUCCUAGAAUUAUGAAAGCUAUAUGCACUGUGAGAGAGCUUUGCGUCCCAUUAGCUAGUUGGAGAGGUAACGGCUCACCAAGGCGAUGAUGGGUAGCCGGCCUGAGAGGGUGAUCGGCCACAAGGGGACUGAGACACGGCCCUUACUCCUACGGGAGGCAGCAGUGGGGAAUAUUGGACAAUGGACCAAGAGUCUGAUCCAGCAAUUCUGUGUGCACGAUGAAGUUUUUCGGAAUGUAAAGUGCUUUCAGUUGGGAAGAAAAAAAUGACGGUACCAACAGAAGAAGUGACGGCUAAAUACGUG
RNAcentral lists this ribosomal RNA (453 nucleotides) under uncultured bacterium. Its description in RNAcentral is "partial 16S ribosomal RNA". It matches the Rfam family "Bacterial small subunit ribosomal RNA", at positions 29 to 507 of the family's 1533-position model. The record is from RNAcentral.